UGCCCAGGAAGUCAGGCAGGCGGAAGUGGAGUGGCGGAAGCGACAGUUGCUAUGGAGCUCGCGGAGGACUGGCUGGUGGAGUCCUUGCGCUUGUACCAAGAUUUCCACGCGUUUGACCUUUCAGGAGCCACUCGAGUCCUUGAGUGGAUCGGUGAAAAAGGAGUCUUUGUUGCUGGUUUUGAAAGUUCGAGAAAAAAUGAGAUCCUUCAUUUGAUCCUGCCGCUCAGACUCUCCGUAAAGGAGAACCAGGGUUUAUUCCCGGAGAGAGAUUUUAAAGUGUGUCAUGGGGGAUUUUCAGACAGAUCUGUCUUCGACCUAAAGCACGUGCCAGAUACCAGGUUGCUGGUGACCAGUGGCCUUCCCGGGUGUUACUUGCAGGUGUGGCAGACUGGAGAGGACAAUGAUGUCAUCGAAGCCGUCCGUACCAUUGACAUGCAGGACAGAGAGGAGAGUCUCUGGCCUCGGGUGUCUGUCUUCUCCUCUGCAGCACCUGGAAUCCUCCACGGGGCUCGGCUCAGUGGCCUGAGGACUGUGGACAUAGAAUCCCAGAAAAUCACAUACAGCUCAGGUACCAGUGACAGCGAGUCGCUGAGCAGCCUUCAGGUUCUAGAUGCGGACACCUUUGCUUUCUGUGGCACCUCAGGUCGCCUGGGGCUUGUGGACACCCGCCAGAAGUGGGCACCGUUGGAGACUCUCAGCCCCAGCCCUGGCUCUAGUGGAGAGAGAUGGUGUGCAGAUGUUAGGAACAAGGGGCAAGGCCCGGGGCCCUGCAUUGCCAGCCUUGGCUCAGAUGGGCAGCUCCGUCUCCUUGACUUCCGGAACCUCUGUCACCCUGUGAGCUCAGCCCAGUGUCCUGUGUCCAAACCCAGCCCUGACCCAGAGCUGCUGCAAGUGACUUGGGCUCCAGGCCUGGACAACUGCUUGGCUAUUUCAGGCUUUGAUGGGACAGUGCAGAUCUAUGACGUCACGUCAUGGGAUGGAAAGGAAAGCCAAGUGGAGCCUCUUUUCACUCACAAAGGCCACAUCUUCCUGGAGGGAAAUGAGGUGGACGCUGCUCCUCUGGUCACCACCCACACCUGGCACCCUUGCAAACCCAGAACUUUGUUGUCAGCAGCAAGCGAUGCCUCUCUGCAUGUGUGGGACUGGGUGGACCUCCAGGCCUCCUGUUGACAGCAGCUGUUUUCCUCCUGGGCCUCCCUCUGAGAAGAGGGGGAGUUGCUUGAGUUGACCUGAACGUGCAGGCCUCCUUCCUCAGCCCCAGAGGCCGUUCCCAGCAGAUGUGGACACAGAUGUGGGUUCUCUGCCCUCCCCUCCUACUUCAGCGUCCUGAGUAGCUGGGAUGCAGGCACUAGGACCAGCAUGGAGAUGAACAGUGUGGUUCUUUUACAGUGACAUUGAUAGAGGUUGGUUUGGGGAGCCCUAGAACUGCAGUUUCCUGGCAGGAUGUUCACUCCCGCCCCCUCCCGGAGCGCAUUUCCUAGCUCUCCUCUCCGCUCUGCUCAGCGGUGUCAGACUGAUGGCUUGAAAUUGGCUGUGGUGGGAGUAUUUACAUCUCAGAAACUGGCAAAUGUUACAAAGCGAGGCUCUUGUUUCCCCCAGAGAUCAGGAUUACCAGCAGCCCCCAGCCAGGCUAUAGUAUUUCACUGAGUGAAAGCAAAGCGAGUAAUUGAGAAAAUCGGGGAGCGGUGUGUGAUCUAGAAGGUGCUUUGCUCAGAUGGAUCCGGCAGGGGCUGGCCAGGAAGACCAAACCCACACCGGGUAAUUGAAUUGAAUUGAAUGGCACAGGAAACGAGGAAGGCACACAACCACAGCGUGUAGAGGCAGUAGGCCUCCGGGUAGGAGUUGUGGUCUCGUGUGUGGCCAGAGCCUAGAUAAUGAGCAGACGCAGCCUCGGGCUCUAGAUCCACAGAGAAGAUGGCUGACUACUACAGAGAGUACAGGGACAGGAGAAUGGGACGGAGUCGAGAGGUUCAUAGAGAUAUACAAAUUUCCCUUCAGCCGAGCCAGCCGUGUCAAUAACGGCAGCCUCACAAUACAGGCGGCGGUGGUGGGGGAAAGCAUUAACAGAAAGAGCUUGCCAGGACCGUAAGGCAGACAUAAUGGGGCAUGAUGGUACAUAUAAUUAUAAUCCCAGCACUCAGGAGACGGAGGCAGACAGAUCUCUAUGAAUUCAAGGCCAGCCUGGACUACACAGUGAGCUCUGAGCCAGCCAGGGCUACAUGGUGAGACCCCACCUCAGAAACAAUAAAAGACCUCGACUUGGCGUCCCAUGGGUCAGGGGACAAGUCCUUGUCCUCCACUCAGUUUCCUCUCUAAAAUGGCAUAAUUAUAGUCCAGUCUCCUGGGCGGCUCAGUAGUUAUCUAAGGCCACGGAGCAGAGUUAACUGUUAACUGAGCAGUUUUCUUUAUUUUGGCAGUGACAUGGAUCAAACCUUACAUAAGCUAGGCAAGUGUUCUAUCAAUGAGCCGCAUCCCAGUCCUGGCUCCGUGUACUUUUUAUUUAUUUUAUUAUUAGCAUUUUCCCCCCCGUACCACAGGCUGGCUUCAAACUGCAAUCCCUGUGCAGCCAAGGAUAACUUUGUACCACGUCCUCCUGCCUCCACCUCCAAGCACUGGGCCUGAAGGCAUGUGCCUGCCACCCACCCCGCUUCUAUAGCAACUUGGUCGUUUAGUUUGAUUUUUGUUUUUUGAGACAGAAUUUCUCUGGCUGUCCUGGAAUUUGCUUUGUGGACCAGGCUGGCCUCGAACUCACAGAGAUCCACCUGCCUCUCUCUCCCGAGUGCUGGGAUUAAAGGUUUGCACCAUCAUCACCCAUCUGCAACUUGUUAAAUAAAUUAAUCUCAUAUAUUCCCUAUUAUACCAUAUUGUCUCUCUGUCUCUCUCCCUCUCUUCCUCUCUGUCUCACUGUCUGUCUCUGUCUCAUUUAUCUCUGUCUCUCUGUCUCUC
This is an RNA transcript of Myodes glareolus (Bank vole), 2946 nucleotides long. It is a transcript of the gene named WD repeat domain 73, with no coding region annotated. Lineage: Eukaryota; Metazoa; Chordata; Mammalia; Rodentia; Cricetidae. The record is from RefSeq and is a predicted model, not a curated record.